Molecule: ribosomal RNA, 445 nt
Filed under: uncultured Anaerovibrio sp.
Lineage: Bacteria; Bacillati; Bacillota; Negativicutes; Selenomonadales; Selenomonadaceae
Description: bacterial SSU rRNA
Rfam family: Bacterial small subunit ribosomal RNA
Source: RNAcentral
GGGGAAUCUUCCGCAAUGGGCGAAAGCCUGACGGAGCAACGCCGCGUGAGUGAAGAAGGUCUUCGGAUCGUAAAGCUCUGUUGAGAGGGACGAGAGAUUACUUCAGGAAAUGGGAGUAAGAGGACGGUACCUUUCGAGGAAGCCACGGCUAACUACGUGCCAGCAGCCGCGGUAAUACGUAGGUGGCGAGCGUUGUCCGGAAUUAUUGGGCGUAAAGGGAGCGCAGGUGGGACUUCAAGUCAGUCUUAAAAGUGCGGGGCUCAACCCCGUGAUGGGAUUGAAACUGUAGUUCUUGAGUGCAGGAGAGGAAAGCGGAAUUCCUAGUGUAGCGGUGAAAUGCGUAGAUAUUAGGAGGAACACCAGUGGCGAAGGCGGCUUUCUGGACUGUAACUGACACUGAGGCUCGAAAGCGUGGGGAGCGAACAGGAUUAGAUACCCUGGUAGU